This 540-nucleotide ribosomal RNA is filed under the name Microhyla nilphamariensis. Its description in RNAcentral is "partial small subunit ribosomal RNA". It matches the Rfam family "Bacterial small subunit ribosomal RNA", at positions 32 to 962 of the family's 1533-position model. The record is from RNAcentral. Lineage: Eukaryota; Metazoa; Chordata; Amphibia; Anura; Microhylidae.
ACAGCUCCCUCUAAAUUUACACAUGCAAGUAUCAGCAUACCCGUGAGAACGCCCUUUAACCUUUAUAGGACAAGGAGCCGGUAUCAGGCACAGACAACUAGCCCAUGACACCUAGCUUUGCCACACCCUCAAGGGUACUCAGCAGUGAUUAACAUUGUUUAUACGCGCCAGCUUGAAUCAGUUACAGAGCAAAGAGCCGGCCAAUACGGUGCCAGCCGCCGCGGCUACACCGCUAGGCUCAAGUUGAUAUUAUCCGGCGUUAAGCGUGUUUUAAGUGCCUAAAAAAUUAGAAUUAAACUUAAACCAAGCCGUGACACGCUUGUUCCUAAGAAAAACAAAAACGAAAGUUAUUCUAACCCAACCACUUGAACCCACGACAGCUAGGGCACAAACUGGGAUUAGGUACCCCACUAUGCCUAGCCGUAAAACAUACACUUACACCUUUAAUCGCCAGGGAAUUACGAGCCCUAGCUUAAAACCCAAAGGACUUGACGGUGUCCCACCCACCUAGAGGAGCCUGUUCUAUAAUCGAUUCCCCCC